RNAcentral lists this transfer RNA (75 nucleotides) under Mycoplasmataceae bacterium. Its description in RNAcentral is "tRNA-Gln". It matches the Rfam family "tRNA". Rfam says of the family: Transfer RNA (tRNA) molecules are approximately 80 nucleotides in length. Their secondary structure includes four short double-helical elements and three loops (D, anti-codon, and T loops). Further hydrogen bonds mediate the characteristic L-shaped molecular structure. tRNAs have two regions of fundamental functional importance: the anti-codon, which is responsible for specific mRNA codon recognition, and the 3' end, to which the tRNAs corresponding amino acid is attached (by aminoacyl-tRNA synthetases). tRNAs cope with the degeneracy of the genetic code in two manners: having more than one tRNA (with a specific anti-codon) for a particular amino acid; and 'wobble' base-pairing, i.e. permitting non-standard base-pairing at the 3rd anti-codon position. Lineage: Bacteria; Bacillati; Mycoplasmatota; Mollicutes; Mycoplasmatales; Mycoplasmataceae. The record is from RNAcentral.
UGGGAUGUAGCCAAGCGGUAAGGCAUCAGAUUUUGAUUCUGACAUGCGUUGGUUCGAACCCAACCUUCCCAACCA